UGCUCUCAACUUGCCUCACACUCCCCCCCCCUCUCUCGUCUGUACCCCCCUCAGACCUCAGCGUGCGGAUAUGAGCACUAAAUCUCUGCUGUACCACUUGUUCCUCUCUAUCAUCUCUCUGUUAUCAAUGCACCCUCAUCCGCUCUCCCCUCGUUCUCUCUCCCUCUCUCUACUGCAGCACCCACACACUCUGCAGCAACAAACAGCCAGCUUAAAGAGACAGAGACCCCCUCACAAUCCUAGCUUCUCUUUCCCCCCGUCUCGUCGCUCUCCAGCAACAGGAGCCUUUUUCCUUUCCGAUUCCUCAGUGAUGGACUGUUCAAACUCCGUUCAGUAGCGGACACCAGGGUGGGAUCUCCAUACAGAAGGGGAGAAACGUCACAGACCACUGCAGAGGGAGUUAUUGACGCUGCCUCCUCCCUUCUCCCUCUCCUCGGUGUGACACCCUACAGCACUGGUAGAGGAGAAGUGAAGCAUCCGUCCUGUCUAACCCCUCAACGGUGACAUAUCUUGCCAGGAAGAAAGCAUCACCUCAAAUGAGUGUGCAUGGGUGCUGGUGCAAUUUCAGGCUGUGGUCCUGUUCCAGUGGACUGCAGAGUGGAAAGGAUUCUGUCCAGAGCCUGCGGAGGACAGAUGAGACAUCAUCACGAGAUGCUACAUGAGUCUGCCAACAAGCCAGUGGAGAAAGAGCAGAAGUCCUGGAGUCGAGUCUGCAUUUCCAGCAACACACUGCACAUACAGAAGGGAC
Molecule: long non-coding RNA, 748 nt
Organism: Notothenia coriiceps (black rockcod)
Lineage: Eukaryota; Metazoa; Chordata; Actinopteri; Perciformes; Nototheniidae
Exons: 3
Source: RefSeq, a predicted model, not a curated record